Long non-coding RNA from Exaiptasia diaphana, 242 nucleotides. RefSeq lists it as uncharacterized. The transcript has 4 exons. The record is from RefSeq and is a predicted model, not a curated record. Lineage: Eukaryota; Metazoa; Cnidaria; Anthozoa; Actiniaria; Aiptasiidae.
CAAUUUUUAGAAACCUUUUUCUGUAGGAGAUCAAUUGAUUCUAUCAGCUAGCAGUAAAUCAAGAUGAAGUCUUACUUGGUUCUCUUGUUGGUCGUCUUGUCUGUUCUGUCCAUAGCUUCAGCUAAACCCGUAACAAAAAAGCAACAACUCCAACAAAACAAUCCACAGAAGGGACAACAAAAACAAUUGAAUGACUAUAAACAACAAAUAAUGAUAGACACGUUGGACAACGUAGAAAGUAA